Non-coding RNA from Camellia sinensis, 459 nucleotides. The record is from RefSeq and is a predicted model, not a curated record. NCBI's taxonomy places the organism in Eukaryota, Viridiplantae, Streptophyta, Magnoliopsida, Ericales, Theaceae.
GAACACGUUGAUUAAGCACUGACCUCUUUCUUCUUGGGAUGUGAGAGUUCCAAAAACUUGGUUGGACUAACCCUGCAAAGUAUGCGUAUUGGAUCAGCACAAUUGGUUGGAUAGAGGAAUCUAGUGAUAUAAGUGAUUUGUAUGGAAAAAGUGAGUGAUUGGAUGGUAACAUUGAGCAGAGUAUUGAGAAUGCUUGGAUUAUGAUGACGAAAGAGAUGAAUGGAAUAUUACACUCUUGGAGAACUUUAAUGAGGUCCAAGGCCCCUAGGAUACUAACUCAAACCAAUGCAAAUAGAUGGAUGAAGAUUUUUGAAGUUAUCAGAGGAUGAUCUUGCUGAUCCUGACCCAGAUCCUGACCCAGCUCCAUUGUUUGUAUCAUCCUCUAAGCCAGUUGAAUGUAUUGCAAUCUUUGCUCCAUAUAUUGGCUUUCUGCGAUCAUGGACUUCAAUGGGGAGAGGU